CCCCUGUGGAAGUCGAGCGCCAACCGGACCGCAGAAGUUGAAGGUGCGGUAGGAGGGGCCACCGUGUCGCCUCCAAGGACAGGUAGUCGACGAUGAAGCCGUACGACUUCCGCCACGCUCAACCAAACUUUAGUAUCGCUUCGACCCUUGUACUAGAGAGACUUCUUAUUUCUUCUCGUUUUAUCAAUUUUUUUCUGCUAUUUAUUCCGUCUCGUUCAUCCGCUCUCUCUCACUUUCCGUCUUCCUCUUACACUCUCACCAUUACUCUCUCUACAUACGUCUUUCCCUUUUUCUGAUUCUCUUGUAUAUUUGCAUAAAUAUAUAUAUAUAUAUAUAUAUACAUAUAUAUAUAUGUGUGUGUGUGUAUGUAUAUAUCUAUGUAUGUAUAUGCAUAUACACACGUAGAGCCAAAAGACAGUGCAUACAUAUUAAACUUGGUGUCACGUAUAAUUGGAUGGGCACUAACAAUGUGACUUUCACUUGACUCUGAGAAAAAGAAAAACAAUAUCUGAGAAAAAAAAAUAAAGGGAUAUAUCAGAGUGUAAGAGUGAUUAAUAGAAGAACGUGAGGAUUUUCAAUAUUAUUGUCAGAGAGAAAAUACAAGGAGGAGAUAAAGAGAAGAAUUUACUUUGAGAAAAUUGUUAUCAAUAAUGGAGACUAAAAUGGAACCUCUUACGCCACCGCAUACACCACCGUCGGUGGACAGAUCGAUGCAGCAUCAUCUUCAAAUGACCUCUACAGUACCAUCGCCCCGUUGGAUCAGGUCGCAACAGAUGUCCAAUAGAUUUGUUCAUCAUCAUCAACAACAGCAACAACAGCAACAGCACGUGCAGUCGACUCAGCAAAAUAUUGGUGGUUAUCAAGCAACAACUUUUUUGGACAAUUGGCUAAGAGGUGCAGCUUUGUUAGCUGUUAGAGGAUGUUGUCCGCAAAGUUCGCCUCAUUAUCAUCAUCAUCAUCAUCAUCAUCAUCAUCCCCAUCAACAACAACAUCAACAUCAUCAUCAAACUCAUCAAGCUUUACAUCCACCACUUCCGGUACAACCACCGGCGCCCUUUCUCACGCGAAAAUUGCCUGGGCAACGACCGAAGAAACAAUUCAUUUGUAAAUUUUGUAAUCGACAAUUUACCAAGAGUUAUAAUUUAUUGAUACAUGAACGUACGCACACUGACGAGAGACCGUACUCGUGCGAUAUUUGCGGGAAAGCAUUCCGCAGACAGGAUCAUCUUAGGGAUCAUCGAUAUAUACACAGCAAGGAGAAACCAUUCAAAUGUGCGGAAUGCGGAAAAGGAUUUUGUCAGAGCAGAACAUUAGCAGUUCAUAAGAUUCUACAUAUGGAGGAAUCGCCCCACAAAUGUCCGGUCUGUGGGAAAAGUUUUAAUCAGAAGAGCAAUCUGAAGACGCAUCUGUUGACGCACACUGACGUUCCUCAGGAUCUUAGGAUCGAGAGCACAGUUUAUGGAGAUUCGAGAGUAACAAGUUCAGCUACGACCGUUAGACAAAUGGCUGAAAGAAUAGGAACCCUUAGAUCAAAUCAAAGGAGCAGUACAGCACCUCCGAAACUUGGAUUUAGUAUAGAAGAUAUAAUGAGACGUUAAGAUAUACAUACGUAUAUUGUUAUUCGUUAGAUAAUUACGUAUCUCUCGUUUCUUCUUUUCGUUACGUUAUGAAAGGAGAUCGAGUUUAUUUAUAAUUUCAGUGUUUUUCUUUUUUUUUUUUUUUUUUUUUUUUUGUUGAAUUUAUUAGACCGAUCGAAUUUGACAUAUAUAUGCGUACGAAGAGAAAAAGUAUCACGUUGUACUCGACGUCGUUUGUAAAUAGAUUCCUAAUCGUAUAGAUAAAACGUAUUCUGCAUUUAUUCUUGUCUUGAAUGUACAACUGUGUAGCGGGAAACGGGAGGAGGUUAGAGCAGGCGGCAGAAGAGAGAAUAAAUGUUAUAUAUGAAUAUAUAUGUUCACAUAUAAGUAGCAAGACAGUAUUAAUUGACAAACUAAAGAUAUUAGACAGUCGAUACGAUUUAUAAAAGUCGAUUAGUUUAGCGAAAUCGAAAUGUUUAUUCAUAGUAUUAUUAAUUCUUGAUAUGGAGAGAAAAAGAGAGAGAGAGAGAGAGAGAGAGACGAGAGACGUGAACCAUAUGUAUCGAGUUUUCAUUUAAACUCAUGUAAAUAUUGACAUUGUAUAUAUGUAUGUUAGUGUUAGUUCGAUAGAUUACACAUUAUAUUACUAUUAUAUUAUUAAAUGUUUAGGGCCAAUCAUAUAAUAGAAAAGUCAUCGGACAAUUAUUUACUACUACGUAAUUCAAUCGAUAUUCGUUGUAUAUGUAUGUAUGUAUGUAUAUGUACGUACGGGGUUGUGUUUGAUAAUCAUAGAGGAGUAAGAUACUAUAGGUAUUUUUAUCAAUAAUAACGAUGUCAUACGUAAUAUUUGGUGAACAGUCAUCGUUCUUCGUAAUUUUAAGCGGGAUCAAAAUUUAGACGUUAAGUAAAAUCUUUCGAAAAGUAAGUUAACUCAAUCCUAAUUUACUAAUAUUUAAAUUCAAAUCGAUAACUCUUGCGUAUUUGCGUAUUUACGAUGUACGUUACAUGUAUUGAUAAACAUUGCGUAGUAAGAUACUAUGGCAAGUUUAUCAAGAAUGUCAGUGUAAUCUUUGAGUCAGUCAUCAUUCUACGGAAAGUUAGGACAGAUCAAAAUUUAGGAUGCUGUUAAGACCAAGGCGUCAAAGUAAUUGCUCGAUCCUAAAAUGGACAUGCAACGAUCUCUAUCUCUUAGAAUAGAAGCUACAUAAGACGUUUCCUGUUGGUUGUAUCGAAGGCGUUAAUCGAGUUUCCUUUAGGAGUUGAAAUGUUUGUGUGGGAGCCAGGACGGUAGAGAAUGUCUAUGCUGCGAGGUCCCGUACUGAGUCCACCCUCGAGGCCCUAAAACGUUAACCGCAGAUUGCCCCGAACGGAUUAGAUCGCACGGUUAGUCUGAAGUUCACGGUGGUGAUCCUAUAGUUCAACAGAAGAUGAAGAUGAAGAUGAAGAUGAAGAUGAAGAAGAAGAGGAAGAAGAAGAAGAAGGAGAGGAAGAAGGAGAAGAAGAAGAAGAUGAUGAUGAAGGAGAGGAAGAAGGAGAAGAAGAAGAAGAUGAUGAUGAUGAAGAAGGAGAAGAAGAAGGAGAAGAAGAAGAAACGGGGUAGUUGAGUUCGACGAAGAGUCCUCGCGAGAGGGGAGAGAGCUCACGCUUUUUUUGCACGCACCUACCCUAUUAUUAGGGCGUGAGCCUUAUCUAAAGGGUCAUAGGGCCGAGUGCGACCUCGAGAGUCUCUCACAGAGAGCGAGAGAAAGAAAGAAAGAGAGAGAGAGAGAGAGAGAGAGAGAGAGAGAGAGAGAGAGAGAGAGAGAGAGAGAGAAGAGAGAGAUGGAGAGACUAAUCCUCGUCCUCCCGAAUUCCAGGAGUCUUUGUGACCAAUAUCCAACGAAGAAUGCAGGCACUUAUACACAUGUAACGUGUUAGGCAGGUUCUUAAGUAUAUAAAUCCUGUGAAUUUUGACGUUAAGCGAGACAUCCUUUAAAAGAUGAAACGAGACAAGAAGAAGAAAAAGAAGAAGAAGACGAAUUUCUAGGAGAAAUUAAGAAGUACGCGACAGAGACGAGAAAGUGAGGUUAUUUUUUAGGAAGACGCGCCCCAAAAGAUAGGUCU
This is an unclassified non-coding RNA of Vespa mandarinia (Asian giant hornet), 3680 nucleotides long. Lineage: Eukaryota; Metazoa; Arthropoda; Insecta; Hymenoptera; Vespidae. The record is from RefSeq and is a predicted model, not a curated record.